UCUUUUCAAACAGAUGAAGAUCCUUCAUUUGUGGAGCUCUUGUUUCAAUAUGGUAGGUAUAUACUAAUUUCUAGUUCGCGUGCUGGAACUCAGGUCUCAAAUCUACAGGGCAUAUGGAACAAGAAUCUUGAGCCUGCAUGAGUUUGUAACUUGUAUUCCUUUGUUAUCAUGCAGCGGUGCGCCUCACUUGAACAUUAAUCUUCAAAUGAACUAUUGGCCAACUCUUGCUUGCAAUCUACAUGAAUGUCAAGAGCCAUUAUUUGAUUACAUUUCCUCUUUGUCAGUCACUGGUAGUAAAACUGCAAA
This 306-nucleotide long non-coding RNA is filed under the name Arachis ipaensis. RNAcentral's name for it is "long non-coding RNA (AIPA_LNC002341)". Lineage: Eukaryota; Viridiplantae; Streptophyta; Magnoliopsida; Fabales; Fabaceae. The record is from RNAcentral.